Molecule: long non-coding RNA, 2676 nt
Organism: Heterocephalus glaber (naked mole-rat)
Lineage: Eukaryota; Metazoa; Chordata; Mammalia; Rodentia; Bathyergidae
Source: Ensembl
UCUUUAUUUCUGCAGUGUGCCUCUUCAUUUUGAGUUAACUGUAAGAAAAACAGAAUUAGGAACCAAAAUGCUUAGAUUCGAAUUCUUACUGGACCAGGAAGUUACCUCCUCAUUGUCUACAAUACCAUGUGCUUUAGCUAGCAGAAAUAAUUUCUAAUGUUCUGUAGGACAAUAGGGUGACUAUAGUUCAUGAGUAGUAUAUAUUAUAUAAAGAACUAGAGGAAUGUGAAGCAACCCAACACAAAUGUUCAUUAUCCUGCUUUUAUCAUUAUACAUUGUAUACAUGUAUCAAAUUAUACUGUACCCCAUACAUACGUAUAAUUAUGUGUUAAUUUAAAAAACCAGGCCAGGCAUGGUGGCACACACCUGUAAUUCCAGCACUCAGGAGGCUGAGGCAGGAGGAUCACUGCAAGUUCAGGGCCAGUCUGCACUACAUAGCGAGUUCAAGGGCAGCCUUCACAAGGCAAGACCCUUUCUCAAAAACAAAAAACAAAACCAACACACUGCUUUAUUCUAGUGCUUCACCUGUUUUUAUUGCCUAGGGGUUUGUUUUUUGUCUUCCCUCUAAAUAGUAAACUUGUUCAACAUUUUUUAAUGCUUAAUAGGAAGUAGGCAACUAUUUCCAGAGUGAACACAUGACUGGUAAGCUUUAUAACUUUAACCAAGUUACUUAACAUCUUGGAUCCUUAUCUUGAGGGCUAGAAGUCCUUCCUCUAUCAUAAAAUUGUGAAGACCAAAUUAAAUUUUACAUGUGCAAUACUAUGUAAGAACUUCACAAUUCUGACUUCUAGAAUGGAUUCUACAGUGUUAGGAGCUCUGCAGACCUGCUUCCCAGUGAAACAAGCCGAACUGGUGAAAAUUGUAAGUCUUAAAAUCUGACAAAGUUGUCACAAGGGCUUAUAGCAACUGGAACAUCUAAGAAAAUGUAGUAAAACUUGGUAAAAAGAGAGAAUCUGAACCACUAACCAUCUCUCUGCUCCCUGUCUCAGCUCAGAGCGGUGGCUGCUUCAGAAGAAAGCAGCCAAGAACACAGGACUUGCUCCUUCCCAGCUCUUAGGUGAAGGUUAUAGUUAUCUUCUGGGAAGUGCAAGCCCCCAGAUAGUUAAGUCUUAGUUACACAUGCCUGAAAUCCCAGCACUUAAGAGACAGGCAGAAGGAUCACAAGUCUCAGACCAGCCUGGACUACAUAGUGAGUUUGAGAUCAACCUGAACUCCAAAGCAAGACCCUGUCUCAGAAACAAAACAACAAAAUUAUAUAAAGUAACUAAGACAAAGUAUUGUUUGGUGUGUAAUAUAUAGAUGUACUUUGCAUGAUAGUACAGAGAGUGAAGAAAGAAUAGUUAUAUAAAAGUGAUUUUUCUGUAACUUACCUGCACUAUGAACAGAUCUGUAGUUUUACUAGAUCUCAUAAAUUCUCAUGCUGCUGGUCAGAAUAUAAAAUGCUACAACUUCUUAGGAAAACAGCCAUAGUCCCCACAAGGUUAAGUAUAGAAUUACUGUUGGGCUUAGCAAAUCUACCCCUAUGUAUAUACUCCAUAAAUAUGAAACCUAUGUCCCUAUAUCCACAUAAAGAUUUGUGUGCAAAUGUACACAGCAGCAUCAUUGAUUAAUAGCAAGGAAAAGUAAAUCCAGUAUCCAUCAACUAAUGAAUGGAUAGAUGAAAUGUAAGAAGACAAUGAAAUAUUAUUUGGCAAGUAACAUGGAUGAACCUUGAACAUGUUAUGCUAAGUGAAACACAUCACAUUGAUUUCAUUGGCAUGAAAUGUCCAUUACAGGCAAAUCUAAAGAUGCAGAUUGGGCCAGGGAUUUAGCUCAGUGGUUCCGCCGCUUGCCUUGCAAGCGCAAGGUCCCGAGUUCUAUCCCUGAUACGCGGCCCCCCCCCAAAAGGAUAUAGAUUAGCGGUUGCCUAGGGCUGAAGGUAAAGGUGAGAUUGUGGAAUUAUACCUAAAGGGUACACGGCUUCUCUUUGGUGUAAUGAAAAUGUUAAGAUUUGAUCAUGGUAAUGGUUGUGUAAUUGUGUGAAUAUACUAAAAACCAUUGAGUUGUACACUUAACAUAGCUGAAUUACAGAGGUUUCUCCUUUUCUCCAUAUGUAUAGGGGAUACAUGCUAAGAACUCUAGUGAAUGCCUGAAACCCCAAGUAGUACUGAACCCUAGUAUAGGGAUAGUAUGUGCUAUUUUUUAUAAUACAUUUGUACCUAUAAUAACAUUUAAUUUAUAAAUUAGGCACAGGUUAAUAACUAAUAAUAAGAUUAGAACAGUUACUGUAAUUAAGUUAUACGAAUGUGGUCUCUCUUGAAAGAGUCAAAAUAACCUGGAUUGGAUAGUAUACAUCUGUAAUCCUAGAAUUUUGGGAGCUGAAGCAGGAGGAUCCCAAGUUUGAGCUUAGCCUGACCAACUUAGUGAAACCAUGUCUCAAAAAUAUGCAAAAGAGCUGGAGAUGUAACUCAGUGGAUUCAAUCCAUUGGCCCUGGAUUCAAUCCUCAGCAACACAAGUGCGCGCGUGCACACACACACACACACACACACACACAUGUGCACACAGUCAAAACAAUGAUUUUAGGGCUGUUGACCACAGGUAACCACAUCUAUGGGAAGUGGAGACUACUACAUCUAUACCAGUGGCACCUAUGGCAUAUGUGUGACACCUUUGUAUCACUGAAAGCUCUAAAAGUU